AACAUAUACACACACAUACAUAUAUAUGUAUGAAAGGUAUCCAUCUAUAAAAACUGUGCCAAAAGAGACACACAAGUCUGGUGCAGGCUACUGCCUGGCCAACUCCUGCCAAACCGUCCAAUCCAUGCCAGCAUGGAAA
Long non-coding RNA from Octopus sinensis (East Asian common octopus), 139 nucleotides. RefSeq lists it as uncharacterized. NCBI's taxonomy places the organism in Eukaryota, Metazoa, Mollusca, Cephalopoda, Octopoda, Octopodidae. The transcript has 2 exons. The record is from RefSeq and is a predicted model, not a curated record.